CCUACGGGAGGCAGCAGUGAGGAAUAUUGGUCAAUGGGCGAGAGCCUGAACCAGCCAAGUAGCGUGAAGGAUGACUGCCCUACGGGUUGUAAACUUCUUUUAUAAGGGAAUAAAGUGAUCCACGUGUGCUCUUUUGUAUGUACUUUAUGAAUAAGGAUCGGCUAACUCCGUGCCAGCAGCCGCGGUAAUACGGAGGAUCCGAGGGUUAUCCGGAUUUUAUGGGGUUAAAGGGAGCGUAGAUGGGUUGUUAAGUCAGUUGUGAAAGUUUGCGGCUCAACCGUAAAAUUGCAGUUGAAACUGGCAGCCUUGAGUACAGUAGAAGUAGGCGGAAUUCGUGGUGUAGCGGUGAAAUGCUUAGAUAUCACGAAGAACUCCGAUUGCGAAGGCAGCAUACUGGACUGCAACUGACACUGAGGCUCGAAAGUGUGGGUAUCAAACAGGAUUAGAUACCCUGGUAGUC
Molecule: ribosomal RNA, 460 nt
Filed under: uncultured bacterium
Lineage: Bacteria
Description: partial 16S ribosomal RNA
Rfam family: Bacterial small subunit ribosomal RNA
Source: RNAcentral